CGGAUGAGUGGAGCUUGCUCCAUGAUUCAGCGGCGGACGGGUGAGUAAUGCCUAGGAAUCUGCCUGGUAGUGGGGGACAACGUUUCGAAAGGAACGCUAAUACCGCAUACGUCCUACGGGAGAAAGUGGGGGAUCUUCGGACCUCACGCUAUCAGAUGAGCCUAGGUCGGAUUAGCUAGUUGGUGAGGUAAAGGCUCACCAAGGCGACGAUCCGUAACUGGUCUGAGAGGAUGAUCAGUCACACUGGAACUGAGACACGGUCCAGACUCCUACGGGAGGCAGCAGUGGGGAAUAUUGGACAAUGGGCGAAAGCCUGAUCCAGCCAUGCCGCGUGUGAAAAGAACGUCUUCGCUUCUU
This 357-nucleotide ribosomal RNA is filed under the name Stutzerimonas stutzeri. RNAcentral's name for it is "bacterial SSU rRNA". It matches the Rfam family "Bacterial small subunit ribosomal RNA", at positions 67 to 426 of the family's 1533-position model. Lineage: Bacteria; Pseudomonadati; Pseudomonadota; Gammaproteobacteria; Pseudomonadales; Pseudomonadaceae. The record is from RNAcentral.